AUUGAACGCUGGCGGAAUGCUUUACACAUGCAAGUCGAACGGCCGCAAGGUGCUGACGAGUGGCGAACGGGUGAGUAAUGCAUCGGAACGUGCCCAGUCGUGGGGGAUAACGCAGCGAAAGCUGCGCUAAUACCGCAUACGAUCUAUGGAUGAAAGCGGGGGACCGUAAGGCCUCGCGCGAUUGGAGCGGCCGAUGUCAGAUUAGGUAGUUGGUGGGGUAAAGGCUCACCAAGCCAACGAUCUGUAGCUGGUCUGAGAGGACGACCAGCCACACUGGGACUGAGACACGGCCCAGACUCCUACGGGAGGCAGCAGUGGGGAAUUUUGGACAAUGGGCGCAAGCCUGAUCCAGCAAUGCCGCGUGCAGGAAGAAGGCCUUCGGGUUGUAAACUGCCUUUGUACGGAACGAAACGGCUCUGGUUAAUACCUGGGGCUAAUGACGGUACCGUAAGAAUAAGCACCGGCUAACUACGUGCCAGCCGCCGCCGUAA
Molecule: ribosomal RNA, 491 nt
Filed under: uncultured bacterium
Lineage: Bacteria
Description: partial 16S ribosomal RNA
Rfam family: Bacterial small subunit ribosomal RNA
Source: RNAcentral